This is a non-coding RNA of Molorchus minor, 75 nucleotides long. The record is from the annotation of a GenBank genome assembly. Lineage: Eukaryota; Metazoa; Arthropoda; Insecta; Coleoptera; Cerambycidae.
CGCGCUGUAGCUCAGUUGGAAGAGCAUUGCCACGGAAAGCCAAAAGGUCCUGAGGUUUAAGCCCCGACUGCGUUA